UCCGUGCCAGCACCCCCGUUAUACGGAGGAUUCGAGCGUUUUCCGGAUUUACUGGGUUUAAAGGGUGCGUUAGGUGUAUAUUAAGUUAGUGGUGAAAUCUAGUGGCUCAACCACAUAUAAGCCAUUAAUACUGAUAUACUAGAGUACGGAUGCAGCAGGCGGAAAUGUGUAGUGUAGCGGUGAAAUGCAUAGAUAUUACACAGAACACCGAUUGCGAAGGCAGCUUGCUAAACCGUUACUGACACUGAUGCACGAAAGGCGUGGGUAGCGAACGGGAUUAGAUACCCCGGUAGUCCACGCAGUAAACGAUGAUAACUCGUUGUAGGCGAUAUACCGUCUGUGACCAAGCGAAAGCGAUAAGUUAUCCACCUGGGGAGUACGACCGCAAGGUUGAAACUCAAAGGAAUUGACGGGGGCCCGCACAAGCGGAGGAACAUGUGGUUUAAUUCGAUGAUACGCGAGGAACCUUACCCGGGCUUGAAAGUUAGUGACGAACUAAGAGAUUGGUUCUCCCUUCGGGGCACGAAACUAGGUGCUGCAUGGUUGUCGUCAGCUCGUGCCGUGAGGUGUCGGGUUAAGUCCCAUAACGAGCGCAACCCCUAUCGAUAGUUACCAGCGAGUUAAGUCGGGGACUCUAUCGAGACUGCCAGUGUAAGCUGUGAGGAAGGUGGGGAUGACGUCAAAUCAGCACGGCCCUUACGUCCGGGGCGACACACGUGUUACAAUGGUCGGUACAGAGGGCAGCUACCCAGCGAUGGGAUGCGAAUCUCGAAAGCCGAUCUCAGUUCGGAUUGCAGGCUGGAACUCGCCUGCAUGAAGUUGGAUUCGCUAGUAAUCGCAUAUCAGCCAUGAUGCGGUGAAUACGUUCCCGGGCCUUGUACACACCGCCCGUCAAGCCAUGGAAGUUGGGGGUGCCUGAAGUCCGUUACCGUGAGGGACGGCCUAGGGCAAACUCAGUAACUAGGGCU
RNAcentral lists this ribosomal RNA (968 nucleotides) under uncultured bacterium. Its description in RNAcentral is "bacterial SSU rRNA". It matches the Rfam family "Bacterial small subunit ribosomal RNA", at positions 502 to 1482 of the family's 1533-position model. The record is from RNAcentral.